RNAcentral lists this unclassified non-coding RNA (378 nucleotides) under plant metagenome. RNAcentral describes it as "partial contains 5.8S ribosomal RNA, internal transcribed spacer 2, and large subunit ribosomal RNA". The stretch from base 1 to 105 matches the Rfam family "5.8S ribosomal RNA", at positions 50 to 154 of the family's 154-position model. The record is from RNAcentral.
GAAAUGCGAUAAGUAAUGUGAGUUGCAGAAUUCAGUGAAUCAUCGAAUCUUUGAACGCACAUUGCGCUCCUUGGUAUUCCUUGGAGCAUGCCUGUUUGAGUAUCAUGAAAUCUUCAAAGUAAAUCUUUUGUUAACUCAAUUGGUUUCUACUUUGGUAUUGGAGGUCUUUGCAGCUUCACACCUGCUCCUCUUUGUUCAUUAGCUGGAUCUCAGUGUUAUGCUUGGUUCCACUCGGCGUGAUAAGUGAUCUAUCGCUGAGGACACUGUAAAAGGUGGCCAAGGUAAAUGCAGAUGAACCGCUUCUAAUAGUCCAUUGACUUGGACAAUACUUUUAUGAUCUGAUCUCAAAUCAGGUAGGACUACCCGCUGAACUUAAGC